GACGAACGCUGGCGGUGUGCUUCACACAUGCAAGUCGAACGAGGUAGCAAUACCUAGUGGCGGACGGGUGAGUAACGCGUGGGAAUCUGCCUUUAGAUGGGGGAUAACGGGUCGAAAGACUCGCUAAUACCGCAUAUGACGAAAGUUGAAAGGAGUAAUCCGUCUAAAGAUGAGCCCGCGUCCGAUUAGCUAGUUGGUAGAGUAAAAGCCUACCAAGGCGACGAUCGGUAGCUGGUCUGAGAGGAUGAUCAGCCACAAUGGGAACUAGAGACACGGCCCAUACUCCUACGGAGGCAGCAGUGGGAUUUACGCAAUGGCGAAAGCCUGACGUAGCGACACCGCGUGAGCGAAGAAG
Molecule: ribosomal RNA, 355 nt
Filed under: uncultured bacterium
Lineage: Bacteria
Description: bacterial SSU rRNA
Rfam family: Bacterial small subunit ribosomal RNA
Source: RNAcentral